This 558-nucleotide ribosomal RNA is filed under the name Preussia minimoides. Its description in RNAcentral is "eukaryotic LSU rRNA". It matches the Rfam family "Eukaryotic large subunit ribosomal RNA", at positions 1 to 562 of the family's 3401-position model. The record is from RNAcentral. Lineage: Eukaryota; Fungi; Ascomycota; Dothideomycetes; Pleosporales; Sporormiaceae.
UUGACCUCGGAUCAGGUAGGGAUACCCGCUGAACUUAAGCAUAUCAAUAAGCGGAGGAAAAGAAACCAACAGGGAUUGCCCUAGUAACGGCGAGUGAAGCGGCAACAGCUCAAAUUUGAAAUCUGGCUCUUUCAGGGUCCGAGUUGUAAUUUGUAGAGGGUGCUUUGGAGUUGACUGUGGUCUAAGUUCCUUGGAACAGGACGUCGCAGAGGGUGAGAAUCCCGUAUGUGGCCGCCAGUCUUCGCCGUGUAAAGCCCCUUCGACGAGUCGAGUUGUUUGGGAAUGCAGCUCUAAAUGGGAGGUAAAUUUCUUCUAAAGCUAAAUAUUGGCCAGAGACCGAUAGCGCACAAGUAGAGUGAUCGAAAGAUGAAAAGCACUUUGGAAAGAGAGUCAAAAAGCACGUGAAAUUGUUGAAAGGGAAGCGCUUGCAGCCAGACUUGCCUGUAGUUGCUCAUCCGGGCUUUUGCCCGGUGCACUCUUCUAUAGGCAGGCCAGCAUCAGUCCUGGCGGUCGGAUAAAUGCCUGCUGAAUGUACCUCUCCUCGGGGAGGACUUAUAG